This 1250-nucleotide long non-coding RNA is filed under the name Amborella trichopoda. RNAcentral describes it as "long non-coding RNA (ATRI_LNC001457)". Lineage: Eukaryota; Viridiplantae; Streptophyta; Magnoliopsida; Amborellales; Amborellaceae. The record is from RNAcentral.
AGCAUUCCUGGGUAGGCUUUCUACCAAUAAAAGGAGAGGAGAGGGAUAUUUCUCUCAUUAGAGAGAGAAAGAGAGAGUUUUAGAGAGAGAAAGCAGAGAGCAAAUUCCUAUGUUUGUUUAGUAAAGAGUAAGAGAGAGGCAGAGGCAGCAUUCUUGGGUAGACUUUCCUCUAAUAAAAGAAGAAAAAGAGGGAUCUUUCCUCAUUAGAGAGAGAAAGAGGGAGAGUUUUAGAGAGAGGAAGAGAGUAUUAGAGAGAGAAAGAGAAGGGCGUUUGCAGUUACAUCUUAUGGGGAUUCUCACAUAUGACCUUCUACUUUUAUGAGGGUUUAAGGAUCAACCAAAAAGAAUAGAAAGGAGGCCCAAACCAGACAUGCUUAGAACCAGGCUCAAAAAGCUGUGCUUUUGUUUGGUUCUAUCAUAGAAAAACAAUAAAAAGAUCCCCAACUUUUCAUCAUCUGGGUAUCUCACUCUUUCUCUUUCUCUCUCUAAAAAUCAGAGAAAUGGGUUUGAGACAAUGGCCUCUCUUCUUCUUCCUCUCAGUGUUAAUUUUCUCUCUCAUCACUGGUUCAUGCCAUGGAGACAGCUUCCCUUCAAAGCUCACAAGGUUUGAAUAUGGGUUUGGCUCAGCUUUGGGGCUUGUUGAGUCCUUUAAGAGAGAUGGAUCAAAAGGUGAAGGGCAAACGGUGUUUGAAUCUGAUAAAAGGAAGGUUCACACAGGUCCAAACCCUCUUCACAACAGAUGAGAGCUAAGAAGAUCCUCCAUUUUUGGCUCUCUUUCUCUCUCUACCUUCUCUCUAUCUCUUUCAUCUGGUUCUGCAUUUGGAGAUAUGAUGAAACAGAUAGGUCAGUUUCCUCACAGAUACACAUAAGAAAAUCUCUUGUAUCUAUUCUUACAUUAAUAUUAAUUUUCAUUUUAUUAUCAUUGAUCUUGGUUGUAGUUAUAUUUGCCUCUGAUUUGUUCCUUGUUUUGUUCAGUGCUCUCUCUCUCUCUCUCUCUCUCUCUUGAUUUGUGUGUAUUUUUUCAGUUGAUUUGUACAUAAAUAUUUUUUUUUGUGUUCCUGAAGUUUAUAUCAAUGAAUCACUGAUGAAUGGCCAAAAGCUUUUUUGGGGUUCUCCUGUGAUUGUGCAGUUUCAUUUUUCUGGAUCCAAGUUUGUUAUUUUGUGAUAAAAACAACUUCAUGUUUUUCCUUCUCUCUCUAGAUUCUAGAGAGAGAAACCAAAGAGUAGCUCCUCAAAUUCAUUGCUAUCUG